AUUCAAUUCUAUGUGUGUCGGUCCUUUCACCUUAUGAACUUCAUCAAGUUUAAUUUUACAGGUAUUAGCUCCUUCAUUAAGGAACUCUUUUUUCAAAAAGACUGUCCGACUGCUGACAAAUACCUUUUGCUCUGUAGCAAGGUAUAAGUAGUACCCUUUAGUUUUCUUUGGAUAUCCUACGAACAAGCAUCUGUCGGAUUUUGAUCCAUGCUUAUCUGUCUUUAAACACUUGACAUAAGCUGGACACCCCCAAAUCC
This 257-nucleotide long non-coding RNA is filed under the name Elaeis guineensis (African oil palm). RNAcentral describes it as "long non-coding RNA (EGUI_LNC059667)". The record is from RNAcentral. Lineage: Eukaryota; Viridiplantae; Streptophyta; Magnoliopsida; Arecales; Arecaceae.